Molecule: ribosomal RNA, 497 nt
Filed under: uncultured bacterium
Lineage: Bacteria
Description: partial 16S ribosomal RNA
Rfam family: Bacterial small subunit ribosomal RNA
Source: RNAcentral
GAUGAACGCUGGCGGCGUGCCUAAUACAUGCAAGUCGAGCGAACAGACGAGUAGCUUGCUCCUCUGACGUUAGCGGCGGACAAGUGAGUAACACGUGGAUAACCUACCUAUAAGACUGGGAUAACUUCGGGAAACCGGAGCUAAUACCGGAUAAUAUAUUGAACCGCAUGGUUCAAUAGUGAAAGACGGUUUUGCUGUCACUUAUAGAUGGAUCCGCGCCGCAUUAGCUAGUUGGUAAGGUAACGGCUUACCAAGGCAACGAUGCGUAGCCGACCUGAGAGGGUGAUCGGCCACACUGGAACUGAGACACGGUCCAGACUCCUACGGGAGGCAGCAGUAGGGAAUCUUCCGCAAAGGGCGAAAGCCUGCCGGAGCAACGCCGCGUGAGUGAUGAAGGUCUUCGGAUCGUAAAACUCUGUUAUUAGGGAAGAACAAAUGUGUAAGUAACUAUGCACGUCUUGACGGUACCUAAUCAGAAAGCCACGGCUAACUACGUG